ACGUAGGGUGCAAGCGUUAAUCGGAAUUACUGGGCGUAAAGGGCGCGUAGGCGGCCACCGCAAGUCGACUGUGAAAUCUCCGGGCUUAACUCGGAAAGGUCAGCCGAUACUGCGGGGCUAGAGUGCAGAAGGGGCAACUGGAAUUCUCGGUGUAGCGGUGAAAUGCGUAGAUAUCUGGAGGAACAUCAGUGGCGAAGGCGGCUUUCUGGCCAAACACUGACGCUGAGGUGCGAAAGCGUGGGGAGCAAACAGGA
RNAcentral lists this ribosomal RNA (254 nucleotides) under uncultured prokaryote. Its description in RNAcentral is "partial 16S ribosomal RNA". It matches the Rfam family "Bacterial small subunit ribosomal RNA", at positions 525 to 777 of the family's 1533-position model. The record is from RNAcentral.